CGUAGGGUGCGAGCGUUGUCCGGAAUUAUUGGGCGUAAAGAGCUUGUAGGUGGUUUGUCGCGUCUGCUGUGAAAAUCCGGGGCUCAACCCCGGACUUGCAGUGGGUACGGGCAGACUAGAGUGUGGUAGGGGAGACUGGAAUUCCUGGUGUAGCGGUGGAAUGCGCAGAUAUCAGGAGGAACACCGAUGGCGAAGGCAGGUCUCUGGGCCAUUACUGACACUGAGAAGCGAAAGCAUGGGGAGCGAACAGGAUUAGAUACCCUGGUAGUCCAUGCCGUAAACGUUGGGAACUAGGUGUGGGUCUCAUUCCACGAGAUCCGUGCCGCAGCUAACGCAUUAAGUUCCCCGCCUGGGGAGUACGGCCGCAAGGCUA
RNAcentral lists this ribosomal RNA (373 nucleotides) under uncultured organism. RNAcentral describes it as "bacterial SSU rRNA". It matches the Rfam family "Bacterial small subunit ribosomal RNA", at positions 526 to 896 of the family's 1533-position model. The record is from RNAcentral.